AUUGAACGCUGGCGGCAGGCCUAACACAUGCAAGUCGAACGGUAACAGGGAUCAGCUUGCUGAUUCGCUGACGAGUGGCGGACGGGUGAGUAAUGUCUGGGAAACUGCCUGAUGGAGGGGGAUAACUACUGGAAACGGUAGCUAAUACCGCAUAACGUCGCAAGACCAAAGAGGGGGACCUUCGGGCCUCUUGCCAUCGGAUGUGCCCAGAUGGGAUUAGCUAGUAGGUGGGGUAACGGCUCACCUAGGCGACGAUCCCUAGCUGGUCUGAGAGGAUGACCAGCCACACUGGAACUGAGACACGGUCCAGACUCCUACGGGAGGCAGCAGUGGGGAAUAUUGCACAGUGGGCGCAAGCCUGAUGCAGCCAUGCCGCGUGUAUGAAGAAGGCCUUCGGGUUGUAAAGUACUUUCAGCGGGGAGGAAGGGAGUAAUGUUAAGACCUUUGCUCAUUGACGUUACCCGCAGAAGAAGCACCGGCUAACUCCGU
Molecule: ribosomal RNA, 489 nt
Filed under: uncultured bacterium
Lineage: Bacteria
Description: partial 16S ribosomal RNA
Rfam family: Bacterial small subunit ribosomal RNA
Source: RNAcentral